This is a long non-coding RNA of Talpa occidentalis (Iberian mole), 917 nucleotides long. RefSeq lists it as uncharacterized. The transcript has 3 exons. Lineage: Eukaryota; Metazoa; Chordata; Mammalia; Eulipotyphla; Talpidae. The record is from RefSeq and is a predicted model, not a curated record.
CUCCAGCGCUCAGCCCCUGCCCCGCGCCCAGACCUUCGUGAAAGAAGAUGCCUGCGACCCAGAGCGUGGCGAGGAACAACGGGAAGUACUCGCUGCAGUUGACUCUGCGGUGGGCGCGCGGUGGCGUAAGGUCAAAUUAAGUCUUGAUACAUCUCAAUAAAAUUUCUUUGACAAAAGGAAAAACAAAAAGGAGAAAGGAGAAACACACAUCAGUUCUCACCAACCAGUUCCCUAAAUUGCCAGGAUCUGUAAAAUAAAGAAGCCUCAGUGCGGGCGGCGGCCUGGCUCUUACCUAGUAGUGUGACUGCCUGUGUCGGAGCCAGAGCUCUUUGAAGUGGAUGCCUUGGCACCAAACUCAAGUCAUGCACGUGCAUUAUCAAAAUAAAAAGCCAACUCUUAGAGUUUAAACCACAUUCCGUAAGCUGGGCCUGGACCAAGAUGCCGUUUAUUGUGUGGCCCUCUACUUCCCUAACCUAGGAACCACGAAGACAUGGCUUCCCCAGGCAUCACUGUCAACUCAGACCCCAUAUCCAAGCGCCAAAAGGACAGCUAGGUAUUCCUCUUCUCCGGGGUCAGGUCUUCUGUGUAAAUGGCUGCCGGUCUUUUGGGAAAAGACAGGCAUCUCAUGACUGCAUGCGCUGCAGCCAGUGGCUUGCAGAGGACCCUCCUGCAUGGGAUCUGGCUUCUCCUUAGCCAAGGGGGAUCUCAUCGUCUAAGACACUGGGUGAAAAGGGUUCCUGGAACCCAUUCCAAUGUGAGCGUAUGGGGCUUUCCACACCUGCCAGCAGAUCUCCGCAGGGUGUCUGAGGUCUCAACACAGCGCCUUACACGGUCUAUAGGGCAUCAGAUUCCACAGCUCUCCAGCGGUCAAGCCCUCCAUCCUGGUUCUCAUCAUGAUAACUGCCUCCACCUGGCUC